AAAGUUUAAAAACUGUCCAUCCCCUUUAUUCUCCUAUCAUGUCCAGCUAAUUGCAAUAGGACUGCCCACGGUAUACUUCCCAUCAGACCACUCCAAACGAGCGAACACGUUCGUACCGGUUGGCUGUGAACUACCACUGAACGUCACCGUAUAUGAUUUCUUCUCAUUUGCUUGGCUAAAACUCAAAGUCUGUGGUUCAACUGAUAUCUUAACUCCUGGAGUUUCAGGUGAUACCGAUACCUUGUAAGUUCCUGGCGAGCCCACAUUGGUGAGAGUUCGAGUGUGUUUAACAACAUUCGACCCACCCAUGACCGAAUCAAAAUUGACAGCAAAGGAAGGGUAGUUGAGAUCAGUGACUCUGUAUCUCUUGCUAGCAUCACAUGAGAAGUUUCUUCUCGCCAGGGAUCUGAUUUGGAACUCUGUGUAGUUCAAGGCACAAAGGAAACCCAGAUAAUCUUCCGCUGUCAAAUCAUACACAAGCCCUGGAUUAAGC
This 493-nucleotide long non-coding RNA is filed under the name Gossypium raimondii (Peruvian cotton). RNAcentral's name for it is "long non-coding RNA (GRAI_LNC005446)". The record is from RNAcentral. Lineage: Eukaryota; Viridiplantae; Streptophyta; Magnoliopsida; Malvales; Malvaceae.